RNAcentral lists this ribosomal RNA (497 nucleotides) under uncultured bacterium. RNAcentral describes it as "partial 16S ribosomal RNA". It matches the Rfam family "Bacterial small subunit ribosomal RNA", at positions 28 to 507 of the family's 1533-position model. The record is from RNAcentral.
GAUGAACGCUGGCGGCGUGCCUAAUACAUGCAAGUCGAGCGAACAGACGAGGAGCUUGCUCCUCUGACGUUAGCGGCGGACGGGUGAGUAACACGUGGAUAACCUACCUAUAAGACUGGGAUAACUUCGGGAAACCGGAGCUAAUACCGGAUAAUAUAUUGAACCGCAUGGUUCAAUAGUGAAAGACGGUUUUGCUGUCACUUAUAGAUGGAUCCGCGCCGCAUUAGCUUGUUGGUAAGGUAACGGCUUACCAAGGCGACGAUGCGUAGCCGACCUGAGAGGGUGAUCGGCCACACUGGAACUGAGACACGGUCCAGACUCCUACGGGAGGCAGCAGUAGGGAAUCUUCCGCAAUGGGCGAAAGCCUGACGGAGCAACGCCGCGUGAGUGAUGAAGGUCUUCGGAUCGUAAAACUCUGUUAUUAGGGAAGAACAAAUGUGUAAGUAACUAUGCACGUCUUGACGGUACCUAAUCAGAAAGCCACGGCUAACUACGUG